CUAAUGACUCUCGGCAACGGAUAUCUCGGCUCACGCAUCGAUGAAGAACGUAGCAAAAUGCGAUACUUGGUGUGAAUUGCAGAAUCCCGUGAACCAUCGAGUUUUUGAACGCAAGUUGCGCCCGAAGCCAUCCGGCCGAGGGCACGCCUGCCUGGGCGUCACGCA
Molecule: ribosomal RNA, 165 nt
Filed under: Sonchus asper
Lineage: Eukaryota; Viridiplantae; Streptophyta; Magnoliopsida; Asterales; Asteraceae
Description: 5.8S ribosomal RNA
Rfam family: 5.8S ribosomal RNA
About the family: 5.8S ribosomal RNA (5.8S rRNA) is a component of the large subunit of the eukaryotic ribosome. It is transcribed by RNA polymerase I as part of the 45S precursor that also contains 18S and 28S rRNA.
Source: RNAcentral